UGGGGAAUAUUGGACAAUGGGGGGAACCCUGAUCCAGCCAUGCCGCGUGUGUGAAGAAGGCCUUAUGGUUGUAAAGCACUUUAAGCGAGGAGGAGGGUACUGGUAUUAAUACUACCAGGUACUGGACGUUACUCGCAGAAUAAGCACCGGCUAACUCUGUGCCAGCAGCCGCGGUAAUACAGAGGGUGCGAGCGUUAAUCGGAUUUACUGGGCGUAAAGCGUGCGUAGGCGGCUAAUUGAGUCGGAUGUGAAAUCCCCGAGCUUAACUUGGGAAUUGCAUUCGAUACUGGUUAGCUAGAGUGUGGGAGAGGAUGGUAGAAUUCCAGGUGUAGCGGUGAAAUGCGUAGAGAUCUGGAGGAAUACCGAUGGCGAAGGCAGCAAUAUGGCCUAACACAGACGCUGAGGUACGAAAGCAUGGGGAGCAAACAGG
RNAcentral lists this ribosomal RNA (430 nucleotides) under Pseudomonadota bacterium. RNAcentral's name for it is "Proteobacteria bacterium partial 16S ribosomal RNA". It matches the Rfam family "Bacterial small subunit ribosomal RNA", at positions 355 to 776 of the family's 1533-position model. The record is from RNAcentral. Lineage: Bacteria; Pseudomonadati; Pseudomonadota.